AGCCACGUCAGCUUUUGAAGGGGACUAGCUCAGGCCUGAUGCUCAGAAAAACAGCUUUUACAGGGGUUGGAAGGGAUAGGAAGGUUGGUUCACAGGAAGCCAAGGGGAAACAGAAAGUGUUGGAGGCUACCAGCUGAUCUGCAAGGCUCCCUUUGAUGCCAGCUGUUACCCUGGACCCUUGCUCCAAGGACAGGUGCAGGAAGGAAAGGUGCAGCUCCAGGACCACUCAAGAAGCUGUUCCUGCAACACAGACCAUCUCCCUGUUCCUUGAACUUAAGCUUUCUUCUACCUCGGACCUUUGCAUGGAAUGUUCCCUUUGCCUGAAACACCCUUUCCACAGAUAUUAUGAAGCAAGUCCCACAUUUCCUCCUCACCUUUGUCAAAUGUCAUCUUACCUGAGGCCUUACUUGACCACCCUAUAUCCUUUAUUCUGUUUUUUUCACUAUAGCACUUUUCAUUAUCUAAAAUAUGAUGUACUUAGCUAUUGGUCUGUCUCCUCUCAUCAUUAACAUAAGUUCCAUGAGGGCAGGGACUUGAUGGGUCUUGUUCAUUGCUGCUACUAGAAACACAGUAGACAAUAAGUAUUUGUUGAACAAAUAAACAAAUAGAAAUAUAUUCUUAUUAAAUGGUUUCUUCUGGGCAUGUGAGGAGAGAUGAGAGGGGACUUUUCACUUUUUACUGGGUACUCCUAUAUAUCAUUAGAUGUAGUUUAUCAAGGGCUAAUAUCACAUUUGUUUCACAAAAUCAAUUGGGUAAUUUUUUUAAGUCUCAUUUCCAAAUUUACUGUCUUGUCUGUUAAUACCUGUUUGAAGAGAAAUCAUAUGGCAGGUGUCAAGUGAUUAAGAACAACCUAAGGAAGAUUUUUACCUGAAAGGAGUUUUACCAAUUCCCUGUAAAUUGGGAAAAUAUUUAUAUUGUUCUAUUUUGUAUUUGUGCUGUUCUAUUUUAACAGAAUAUCCAGGCCCACUUUGUGGUUUGUCUCAAGUCCACAGCAGCAUGAUUCUGUCCAGAUGGGGAGGCCUGGAAUCAAGAGCAAUCCCCAGAGCUAAAUAGGGUGACGGAGGAGGUCAUGGCUUGAAUGUUUGUCAAAGUGUGAGGGACAUUAACUGAUGAAAAAGGGAAAUAGAAAGUGAAACCUUUUAUUUAAACAACAUUAAGCCAGUUCCUUUAAGGCACAACUGCUUGGAGCCUUUAACCUAGUACACGUUAUUAGGUGUCCAGGAGGGAGGUAACAGGCAACUUCCUGAGCUCUUGGGGUCUCAGCAUCCUUUUCACAGUGGUUGCUAUAUUUGGAGGACAAAUUUUGGGAAACAUUGAAAUUAAAGAUUUUCUGAGGUAAAGGAGAAAUUUUUCCUAUUCCUUAGGAGUCUUGCCUGGUAAGAAAAGUAGGUGCUAGAAUAAAUUAUAGGGGUUGGCUGAGAUCUACAGGCUGGAGAGUGAACUUUGCCACUCGGUUUCUGUGAACCAGAGGGGAGAUAGGAUGGCCAUGGGAUGAAGAAAGCAAGAAAACAGGCAAAACCCCAAGAUAUUUCCCUGUUAAUACUAUUGCAUUAAGAUCCUUGCCCCCCAGUUUUGUCUAAAGCUUCUGCUUGGAAUUGACUGAGCCUAGUUCAAGGGGAGCCAUGGCUUGCCCAGAUUCUUUGAAAAACAGCUAGAGUGUAACUGAAAUGAAGUGUGGAUACUCAGGAAGUAUCAUGAGAUGUAGUUUCUAGAAGCCCUGGGGACCCAUAGAGAAUGAAACAGCAACUUGUGCAAAGUUUAUUCUAUCCAAUUUGGAGCAGUCUGUCUUCAAGGCAGAAUCAGAGCGCUGGCUCUUAAACAGGGGCUGCUUGUCGUGAAUGACGCUGAUGCUCUUGUGAAAGACCAGUCGUCCGGGAAGCCUAUGAGCAGAGUUGAACAAAUAUCUAGAAAGGAGUUGACAUACACCUCCCUUCAUGACCACCCCUUUAUUCUUCUGAAGCAAGCAAUAUUAUACUGGGGCCCAGUCUUCCUGUGUUUACCCACACCUACAUCUUUUUUCCUAUGGUAUUUUUCACUGUCUUGAAUAUUGUUCCAUGCCAGUUCCUAUCUCCAUUCUGUUUAACAACUGCAUUAUCAUAAUUACUCUCCUUUGAAGGGCAAUUAGGUCAUUUCCAAUUUUACUACAAUGAGUAACAUGUUAAGCACUAGUCAAGUUUUUACGUUUUAAGCACUUCACAUGUAAUCCUCAUACCUCUGAUAGGUAUAAUUAACCCUUUUUUUUUUAGGAGAGCAAGGUACAGGCUUUUAUUUAGAGAUAAAGUGAAAGGACAGAGCUCCCGGCUCACGCCAGGAGGGGACAAGAGAGUCCCUAAUUAACCCCAUUUUUACAGAUGAGUCUUGAUGUACUGACAGGAUAACCUACUUGCCCAAGGUUAAAAGUCAUUAAGUAGUGGAGUCACAUUUGAACUCUAGUCUUGUCUCCAGAGCCACAAGGAAUCACUACUACAUUAGAUUACAACAUUUUUACACAGGAGGCAUAUGCUCUUCUAAAUUGAAUUAAGACUAAUUUUAUAUAAAACCCACUAUACUGUUUUUUUCAUUUCAGUAGAACUGGCAAAAACUUCAUCUUGGAGUGGCAUCAGGGUACACAGACCAGCACCUUGGAUCUACUGCUUUCAGUGUACCAUGCAAACACAUCUUUGCACACCGGUGUGAGCAUUCUCAGGAACGAUCACAGAAAUAAUGUAUUAACAGAAACUCUUCUUUUAUCGAAUACUCAAGUAGAAGGGCUGGUGAGGCAUCUUGCUCCCUUCCCAUGGGCUCUUUAGCAUCUGAACCAACAGCAAUUAUUUCAGAGAAGUAAAAAGCUAACUGGACAAUGAAAACUAAGUUGAACAGGUGAUAGGGCUGAGUUGGAUUCAAAACAUAAACAAACCUUUAUCAACUCAUCUUUCUAUCUAGGUCAUCCCAAAGUAAAGCUCUACUCCUAGUCCCAUUUCCUCACAGCAUUGCUGGCCCCCCUCACCAGUAGCAGAGUGAGCAGGAACCACACUACAAAUGCUUCCAUUUCAUUCAGCAUAAAGCAAGGCUUGAGGCCAGGACUGGUAAACCCACUCCCAAAAAUCAAUUUACAGCACAGAUUUUUGAAGACCAACAAUUUAGAGCCUUUUCCUUAUUCAAAUUCCAAGUUCUGUGCACAGUAAAUUUGCUGAGAUCCUUGGAUACUUAGGGGAUCCCUGUGGAAAAGGAAGAUCCUCAGAGAAUGAGACAGCAAUAGGUGAAACCUCUUUUCUCAAAGGAUUAACAAGAUUUCACAUCUGGGAGUCUCAGGUUGCUUGCUAGUCAAGAUGUCAUUUAGGAGAAAUAUGUGUUCAAGUCUUCUUACCCAAGCCACCACUAGUUUCCAGCUAUUAAGUGAAAUGCUUUAUUCUCCAGGUUUAUUAAUCAAGGCUUUUAAGUGUAAAAGCAAGCAUGGGAAAAAACAAGACUUUUUAUCUUAAAACUCUGCUUUAGUAGCAAAGGGCCUAUUCUAUCUUACUGAAUACACAGCAAAAACCCUACUUAAAAGCACUAGUUUGAGGACUUCUUAAAAGAGGAACCUAGUAAAACUUCAAGGAUUUUAUGGGCUGUUUUUUUUUAUUUUGGUAUCAUUAAUCUACAAUUACAGAAAGAACAUUAUGUUUAUUUACUAGGUUCCCCCCUUCACCAAAUCCCCCCCAUACAUCCUUCAGUCACUGUCCAUCUGCGUAGUAAGAUGCUGUAAAAUCACUAGUCUUCUGUGUUGCGCAGCCUUCCCCGUGCCCCCCAUGCACUAUACAUGCUAAUCGUAAUGUAUGGGCUGUUCUUAAGUCAAUUACAA
Long non-coding RNA from Manis javanica (Malayan pangolin), 3820 nucleotides. RefSeq lists it as uncharacterized. The record is from RefSeq and is a predicted model, not a curated record. NCBI's taxonomy places the organism in Eukaryota, Metazoa, Chordata, Mammalia, Pholidota, Manidae.